CACAUGACUCUCGGCAACGGAUAUCUCGGCUCUUGCACCGAUGAAGAACGUAGCAAAAUGCGAUACCUGGUGUGAAUUGCAGAAUCCCGUGAACCAUCGAGUUUUUGAACGCAAGUUGCGCCCGAGGCCUUUUGACCAAGGGCACGUCUGCCUGGGCGUCACGC
Molecule: ribosomal RNA, 164 nt
Filed under: Lepturus repens
Lineage: Eukaryota; Viridiplantae; Streptophyta; Magnoliopsida; Poales; Poaceae
Also listed under: 1 other name
Description: 5.8S ribosomal RNA
Rfam family: 5.8S ribosomal RNA
About the family: 5.8S ribosomal RNA (5.8S rRNA) is a component of the large subunit of the eukaryotic ribosome. It is transcribed by RNA polymerase I as part of the 45S precursor that also contains 18S and 28S rRNA.
Source: RNAcentral